UUAUUGAAUAAACUUGAGCAGGCUGUUGCUGGCCCUCUUUGGGGGGUAUGUGCACGCUUGUCAUCUUUAUUUCUCCAACUUGUGCACAUUAUUGUAGACCUGGAAGUUUGAAUUUACUUUCGAGUUGGGACUGCUGGUGUUGUUCAUCAUCAGCUUUGCCUUUACACCUAGGUCUAUGUCAUUUUUUACAAACCUUUGAAUUCGUUUAGAAUGUUGAAUCAGGUGCAUUUUUUGUAACCUAUAAAGUUAUACAACUUUCAGCAACGGAUCUCUUGGCUCUCGCAUCGAUGAAGAACGCAGCGAAAUGCGAUAAGUAAUGUGAAUUGCAGAAUUCAGUGAAUCAUCGAAUCUUUGAACGCAUCUUGCGCUCCUUGGUAUUCCGAGGAGCAUGCCUGUUUGAGUGUCAUUUAAAUUCUCAAACCACAUUUUGUGAUGUGGAUUUGGAUGUGGGGGAAUGUUUUGCAGGCGACCUUUGGAAGUCUGCUCCCCUGAAAUGCAUUAGUGGUAUCUGAGCCUUCAGGUGUGAUAAAUUUAUCUAUGCCUGCUUGCAUUGAACAGAUUGCACCGCUUC
RNAcentral lists this ribosomal RNA (571 nucleotides) under uncultured Inocybe. RNAcentral describes it as "eukaryotic LSU rRNA". The stretch from base 253 to 406 matches the Rfam family "5.8S ribosomal RNA". Lineage: Eukaryota; Fungi; Basidiomycota; Agaricomycetes; Agaricales; Cortinariaceae. The record is from RNAcentral.